This 1030-nucleotide small RNA is filed under the name Pan troglodytes (chimpanzee). RNAcentral describes it as "retained intron". The record is from RNAcentral. Lineage: Eukaryota; Metazoa; Chordata; Mammalia; Primates; Hominidae.
AUGUUGGAGGGUUGGUGGUAGCGGCUUGGGGAGGUGCUCGCUCUGUCGGUCUCGCUCUCGCACGCUUCCCCCGGCUCCCUUCGUUUCCCCCCCCCGGUCGCCUGCGUGCCGGAGUGUGUGCGAGGGAGGGGGAGGGCGUCGGGGGGUGGGGGGAGGCGUUCCGGUCCCCAGGAGACCCGCGGAGGGAGGCGGAGGCUGUGAGGGACUCCGGGAAGCCAUGGACGUCGAGAGGCUCCAGGAGGCGCUGAAAGAUUUUGAGAAGAGGGGGAAAAAGGAAGUUUGUCCUGUCCUGGAUCAGUUUCUUUGUCAUGUAGCCAAGACUGGAGAAACAAUGAUUCAGUGGUCCCAAUUUAAAGGCUAUUUUAUUUUCAAACUGGAGAAAGUGAUGGAUGAUUUCAGAACUUCAGCUCCUGAGCCAAGAGGUCCUCCCAACCCUAAUGUCGAAUAUAUUCCCUUUGAUGAAAUGAAGGAAAGAAUACUGAAAAUUGUCACUGGAUUUAAUGGUAUCCCUUUUACUAUUCAGCGACUAUGUGAAUUGUUAACAGAUCCAAGGAGAAACUAUACAGGAACCGAUAAAUUUCUCAGAGGAGUAGAAAAGAAUGUGAUGGUUGUUAGCUGUGUUUAUCCUUCUUCAGAGUAAGUAUAUUUUUUCUAUUUCUAGUAUAUUAUUUACUAUAUUUAAUCAUUUUAUUGCUUCUAAUAUAUUAUUCUUAAAAUAGACUGAAUUUAUUUAAUAUGUAAUUAAGUGUGAUAACAUACUUGUGAACCUACCAUUCAGUCCCCAAAGUAGAAUAUUACUAAUAACAUUAUCUAUAUGUUUUUUCCAGUAAAGAGAUUUGGAUUAAAGAGAUUGGUGAUUUACUGUAAUUUUAAUAUUGUUGGAUUUACAUACUGUGGUGGCACUCAUUGCCCUGAGAUGCCAUUCUAGAUGCCUUUCCAGGGUGUCUCUAGGGCAUAAUUCCCAUGUUUGGAAUAACUACUUGAUGGCUUUUCUCUUCAUGAUGGAAAAUAUUUCCAGUUGUCAAGAUUU